RNAcentral lists this ribosomal RNA (253 nucleotides) under uncultured bacterium. RNAcentral's name for it is "partial 16S ribosomal RNA". It matches the Rfam family "Bacterial small subunit ribosomal RNA", at positions 524 to 776 of the family's 1533-position model. The record is from RNAcentral.
UACGGGGGGGGCAAGCGUUGUUCGGAAUUACUGGGCGUAAAGGGCUCGUAGGCGGCCAACUAAGUCAUACGUGAAAUCCCUCGGCUUAACCGGGGAACUGCGUCUGAUACUGGAUGGCUUGAGUUCGGGAGAGGGAUGCGGAAUUCCAGGUGUAGCGGUGAAAUGCGUAGAUAUCUGGAGGAAUACCGGUGGCGAAGGCGGCAUCCUGGACCGACAUUGACGCUGAGGAGCGAAAGCUAGGGGAGCAAACGGG